This 492-nucleotide ribosomal RNA is filed under the name uncultured bacterium. Its description in RNAcentral is "partial 16S ribosomal RNA". It matches the Rfam family "Bacterial small subunit ribosomal RNA", at positions 29 to 507 of the family's 1533-position model. The record is from RNAcentral.
AGUGAACGCUAGCGGUAGGCCUAACACAUGCAAGUCGAACGGCAGCACAGUAAGAGCUUGCUCUUACGGGUGGCGAGUGGCGGACGGGUGAGGAAUACAUCGGAAUCUACUUUUUCGUGGGGGAUAACGUAGGGAAACUUACGCUAAUACCGCAUACGACCUACGGGUGAAAGCAGGGGAUCUUCGGACCUUGCGCGAUUGAAUGAGCCGAUGUCGGAUUAGCUAGUUGGCGGGGUAAAGGCCCACCAAGGCGACGAUCCGUAGCUGGUCUGAGAGGAUGAUCAGCCACACUGGAACUGAGACACGGUCCAGACUCCUACGGGAGGCAGCAGUGGGGAAUAUUGGACAAUGGGCGCAAGCCUGAUCCAGCCAUACCGCGUGGGUGAAGAAGGCCUUCGGGUUGUAAAGCCCUUUUGUUGGGAAAGAAAAGCAGCAGGUUAAUACCCCGCUGUUCUGACGGUACCCAAAGAAUAAGCACCGGCCAACUUCGUG